This 86-nucleotide transfer RNA is filed under the name Ipomoea nil (Japanese morning glory). It matches the Rfam family "tRNA". From Rfam's summary of the family: Transfer RNA (tRNA) molecules are approximately 80 nucleotides in length. Their secondary structure includes four short double-helical elements and three loops (D, anti-codon, and T loops). Lineage: Eukaryota; Viridiplantae; Streptophyta; Magnoliopsida; Solanales; Convolvulaceae. The record is from Rfam by way of RNAcentral.
GUCAAGAUGGUCGAGUGAUAUCUAAGGCACCAGACUCAAGUUCUGGUUUUUGUGAGAAGGCAUGUGUUCAAGUCUUACUUUUGACA